Molecule: ribosomal RNA, 431 nt
Filed under: uncultured bacterium
Lineage: Bacteria
Description: partial 16S ribosomal RNA
Rfam family: Bacterial small subunit ribosomal RNA
Source: RNAcentral
AACGAACGCUGGCGGCAGGCUUAACACAUGCAAGUCGAGCGCCUCGCCAGAGGAGCGGCAGACGGGUGAGUACCGCGUGGGAACGUACCCUUAUCUUCGGAAUAGCUCUGGGAAACUGGAAGUAAUACCGAAUGUGCCCUUAGGGGGAAAGAAUUAUCGGAUAAGGAUCGGCCCGCGUUGGAUUAGCUAGUUGGUGGGGUAAAGGCCUACCAAGGCGACGAUCCAUAGCUGGUCUGAGAGGAUGAUCAGCCACAUUGGGACUGAGACACGGCCCAAACUCCUACGGGAGGCAGCAGUGGGGAAUAUUGGACAAUGGGCGCAAGCCUGAUCCAGCCAUGCCGCGUGAGUGAUGAAGGCCUUAGGGUUGUAAAGCUCUUUCACCGGAGAAGAUAAUGACGGUAGCCGGAGAAGAAGCCCCGGCUAACUUCGUG